RNAcentral lists this long non-coding RNA (369 nucleotides) under Gossypium raimondii (Peruvian cotton). Its description in RNAcentral is "long non-coding RNA (GRAI_LNC009789)". Lineage: Eukaryota; Viridiplantae; Streptophyta; Magnoliopsida; Malvales; Malvaceae. The record is from RNAcentral.
UCGGAUCAUCUUGAGCACAAGCGCCGUGGUCGAGAACAUUCUUUAUGCAGAUCAGUCCGACGACCAAACAAAGAAGCCAGUUCACCAUGUCGUUCUUCAGCUGGCUGCCGGCGACAACCUGACGGAGACCAAAGUCAGUGUGGACACAAGCAGAAGCAAAGAACCAGUUUAUGUCAUCAGUUUAAGUCCAUCAAUAAUGGAGGAAAGUAAUGUCAAGUACAGUGUCAUAUCAACCAUACAACGGGCCAUGGCUCGGAUAUGGCUCUGGGAUGGCAAGUCCAGGGCUCCACCUUGGCUCAUAGCUGGCAUGGAAGAGUAUAUAUGGAUGCAGGCUGGAUUUGGCCACCAUGAUAAAGAAACAGCACUACA